Molecule: long non-coding RNA, 1900 nt
Organism: Leopardus geoffroyi (Geoffroy's cat)
Lineage: Eukaryota; Metazoa; Chordata; Mammalia; Carnivora; Felidae
Exons: 2
Source: RefSeq, a predicted model, not a curated record
UUCUGUGUCUCCCUCUCUCUCUGCCCCUCCCCCGUUCAUGCUGUGUCUCUCUCUGUCUCAAAAAUAAAUAAACGUUAAAAAAAAAAUUAAAAAAAAAAAAAAGAAAUGCAGUGACUCCAUGAGUCACACCCGCCUUUAAUAAGAUCUCCAGACUAGUUGUGUCUACACGGAAGUUUGAGAAACUCUGGCCUACGUAACUCUGUUUGGCUGGGAGUUUUGAUGUUUUGCAGCAAGCACAUUUUCACGUAUUACCUGUGUAAUCAAAAGAUGUUUUAAAGAGACUAGAUUAUAAAGAAGGUGAAAAUUCAGGGAGGAGACUGACCCCUGCUGGACUGGGUCGGAAGGAGUCCGCAGAGCCAGUCCAGGAGGUAACAGGCUGCCACAUCCCCUGAGAGCCGAGGUGCCGCUCUCUGGGUGGAAAACUGAGAACGAGGGCAGGAGGGAAGAGGGGGAGAGGUCCUGGACAAGCGCCCCAGCUUGAAAGUUCUGUUUCUGCUCAUUGUCGUAAGCUUGCUACAAGCAGACAUCUGGCCCCAGUAGACCCUCAUAACUGCAAGUUGAAUGCAGGAAAUGUCCAAGGAUCUGAAGUUCUAGCAGUGACGACAGCCGAAUGACUGCAAACGAGUGUCCGUGGACUCACAACUCUAAGGACGUCGUGACAGCCAGUAGGAGAAGAAGUCAUUCUUUCCACAAUUACCAGCUUCUCUCUUUCCCCGUUCCUUUGGAUCAGCCUCCUGCAAGAAGCCGAUUUCCAGCUGCAUGUGAUAAUGAGAGGAUUUUUCUUUCUUCUUAUGUUAAAUACAAGUGAAUUGAUUAAAUAGAAGACAGUGUCUGAUUGCUAGGAAAUCAGUGAUUCAGAUGGCAUGGAAUGGCACCUGGGGAUGGGGGAAGAGAAAACAGGAGGGGGAGGAAGCCCAUACAGCCAUCCGUGCCAAGGACAGUCAAGGGCGGACGGGGCUGAGGCUUGGAGGAGGAAGGAUUUGACAUCACUUGGUCCAGCCUCAACGUCUGUGGGUGCAGAAUGAUAAGGGAUGACGGGAGCUGGCUGUGGACCCAGAACUAUAAGCCAGAGCUUCCUCGCCUUCUCCGCUGUUCACACCCCACCGGCUUUCUCUGCCUACUUCCACCUUCCUGCCGCAGACCCCUACCUCCUUGCUGAGUGCACUUUCCACUAGCAGGGAGUCUGGACACGAGCCGAACAUAUUCAGGAAUCAUGCUGUACUUCUACAUCAGGAGGUAGGGCUGCUCCCUAGAAUGUCCCUCCCUGUCCCUCCCAAAGGUAACCAGUCUUUCAAAGCCAUGGAUCAUUUUUGCUAAUCUCUGUACUUUUUGUGGAAACAGAAUCCGACAGCGAUGACCUUUGUGUGUGCGUUCUGACUUCUUUUGCUCAACAGAGGGUCUGUGAGAUUUAUCCAUGUUGCUGUGUAGAGCAAUAGGUUCAUUUGUACUCAUUUCUAUAUGCUGGCAUUCUACUUUGUGACUUUACCACAGCUUAUCUUAUCCACUCUACCUUGGAGAGACAUUGGGACUCAUACCAGUUUGGGGCUAGUAUGAACAGUGCAGUUAGAAACAUUCUUGCACAGAAGAAGAAGAAGGAGGAGGAGGAGGAGGGGGAGGAGGAGGAGGAGGAGAAGAAAAAGAAAGGAAGGGGGGGGGAGGAAGAAAGAAAGAAAAGAAAAAAAAAGACACAUUCUUGCACACAUUCUGGUAGACAUAAGCUCUUGUUUGUUGUGUUCAUGCCCAGGAGCGGAAUUGCUACCUCCUAAGUUAUGCAUAUGGUCACUGUCAGUAGGGUACUGCCAGUUUGCCAACAGUUUUACCAAUUUAUAUACCCCCGAAUGUCUGUGAAAGUUUCAGUUGCUCUGUGUUUUCAUCAGUACUUGAUCUUGUUUUGCUUGUU